AUCCGCGUGAGUGAAGAAGGCCUUCGGGUUGUAAAGCUCUUUCGCAAGGGAAGAAAACUUAUGAUCGAAUAAAUCAUGAGGUUGACGGUACCUUGAUAAGAAGCACCGGCUAACUACGUGCCAGCAGCCGCGGUAAUACGUAGGGUGCGAGCGUUAAUCGGAAUUACUGGGCGUAAAGCGUGCGCAGGCGGUUUUGUAAGUCGGAUGUGAAAUCCCCGGGCUCAACCUGGGAACUGCGUUCGAAACUGCAAGGCUAGAGUGUGUCAGAGGGGGGUAGAAUUCCACGUGUAGCAGUGAAAUGCGUAGAGAUGUGGAGGAAUACCAAUGGCGAAGGCAGACCCCUGGGAUAACACUGACGCUCAUGCACGAAAGCGUGGGGAGCAAACAGGAUUAGAUAACCUGGUAGUCCACGCCCUAAACGAUGUCAACUAGUUGUUGGUAGAGUAAAAUCUAUGAGUUAACGUAGCUAACGCGUGAAGUUGAACCGCCUGGGGAGUACAGGUCGCCAGAUUAAAACUUCAAAGGAAUUGACGGGGGCCCGCACAAA
RNAcentral lists this ribosomal RNA (547 nucleotides) under uncultured archaeon. RNAcentral describes it as "bacterial SSU rRNA". It matches the Rfam family "Bacterial small subunit ribosomal RNA", at positions 395 to 929 of the family's 1533-position model. The record is from RNAcentral.